GGCGGACGGGUGGAUUCCCCGCCCCCCCCCAAGAGGCGGAGCCGCGUGGGUCCGGGCGCCGGGCCGCGGCCACCCGCACGCGGACACACUCGGACGCGCUCGCACCCCCUCCCCUCCUCUCCCGCCCCCCUGGCCCGCCCCGCCCCCCUUUCCGAUCCCUCCCCUCCUCCGGGACCCCGGGCGCGCCCCAGCCCGCCCCCGCACCUCGCUGACGGCCCGCGGAGAUAACGCGCCCCCUCUUUCCGCUCCGGUGGCCGAUUUUCGGAGGAGAGGAAAUUUCACUUUUUCACGGCCGCCGCCGACCCCGCCCCUCCCUUCAGCCCCAUCCCCUUCCCGAGCAGGGCUGAUUUCUACCUCCUGGUGCGGGUGUCUGGGGAGGCGGUGUUGCCAUGGUUUGCCUUGACCUUGGCAAAGGAGGGGAGGGAUAUUGCCCUGGCUUAAGCUACGUUUGAGCUUCCUCGGGUUUCCUUGGCACCCUGGACCCAGCCCUCGGUGAUAUCAUUUGCCACAUUUUCCUUGGGUGAGCCUGGCUUUCCCGCCUGAAUGUAAGUUACCCAGGGGCUGACACCUGGCCUCAUUCAUAUGUGUACCCCCAAAGCCUAGCCCAGAGCAGGUGCCUGAUAAAUUCUUAGUGCCAGGCAUGGCUCUAAACCCUAAGCACGGAUUGCCUCACUUCAACUCCCCUGUUCCUCAUGAGGAACACGAGCUUUUAGUCAUUUUGGUUUGGUGAGUGUCAGGUAAAGAAGAGAAUCACCCAAGAAUGUGUCAUAGGAGGACUGAGACCGAGUUGGGACAGUCGAAAAGAAUGAACCCAGAAUACAGUUUUAUUCGUUUGGUUUUGGUUAAGUCAAACUGUGAAACAUGGAAAAUACACAGACUGUACUAUUCACAGGAUGAACAGUCGCUUGCAUUUGUCCAAAAUGUGUAAUACACAACCACGGCAGAAGAGGAAAGGAGGCAUUCAGAGAUACGCAAUGGAAGUGCCUAAUUCAUGGCGAAUCGCUGUGCUGUGGCAGGUUGGAAUGCGGUUCACCUAUUUCUACGUGAAACCACUGGCAGUGGCCCUCUCUGCACAUCAGUCCACACUGUCGCACCUGUUCCAGCUCCAGUGUCCCGCUGUGGGACAGCUUCUGGACCUUCAGCUAUAUGCCCAUCCCCAACCCUAGUGAUCAUAGCUUUGUAUCAAGUUUCUUCCCUCAUCUAAGGCUGCCCCUUCUGGUUUUCUGCUUGUUUCCCCCCCCCCCCCCCCAGGCCCCUCUCCUUUUGCUAUGCCAUAAAUGCUGGUGUUCUUAGGGGUUCGGUGCACUUCUCUCUUACUUCCUCAUUCUAGACGCGAUCCCGUUGCCAUAUGCUCCCCAAAUGCAUGCCUGAACCAUGA
Long non-coding RNA from Neofelis nebulosa (Clouded leopard), 1378 nucleotides. RefSeq lists it as uncharacterized. Lineage: Eukaryota; Metazoa; Chordata; Mammalia; Carnivora; Felidae. The transcript is spliced from 4 exons. The record is from RefSeq and is a predicted model, not a curated record.